This 83-nucleotide transfer RNA is filed under the name Penicillium olsonii. RNAcentral describes it as "tRNA-Thr". It matches the Rfam family "tRNA". Rfam says of the family: Transfer RNA (tRNA) molecules are approximately 80 nucleotides in length. Their secondary structure includes four short double-helical elements and three loops (D, anti-codon, and T loops). Further hydrogen bonds mediate the characteristic L-shaped molecular structure. tRNAs have two regions of fundamental functional importance: the anti-codon, which is responsible for specific mRNA codon recognition, and the 3' end, to which the tRNAs corresponding amino acid is attached (by aminoacyl-tRNA synthetases). tRNAs cope with the degeneracy of the genetic code in two manners: having more than one tRNA (with a specific anti-codon) for a particular amino acid; and 'wobble' base-pairing, i.e. permitting non-standard base-pairing at the 3rd anti-codon position. Lineage: Eukaryota; Fungi; Ascomycota; Eurotiomycetes; Eurotiales; Aspergillaceae. The record is from RNAcentral.
AGCUCGCAUGGCCCAGCGGUAAGGCGCAUCACUCGUAUGCAAUGAUGAGAUCCCCGGUUCAAUCCCGGGUGUGAGCAUCUCUC